CGAUGAUGCCCACUUGUGGGUGGAUUAGUGGCGAACGGGUGAGUAACACGUGAGUAACCUGCCCUUAACUCUGGGAUAAGCCUGGGAAACUGGGUCUAAUACCGGAUAUGACUCCUCAUCGCAUGGUGGGGGGUGGAAAGCUUUUUUGUGGUUUUGGAUGGACUCGCGGCCUAUCAGCUUGUUGGUGAGGUAAUGGCUCACCAAGGCGACGACGGGUAGCCGGCCUGAGAGGGUGACCGGCCACACUGGGACUGAGACACGGCCCAGACUCCUACGGGAGGCAGCAGUGGGGAAUAUUGCACAAUGGGCGCAAGCCUGAUGCAGCGACGCCGCGUGAGGGAUGACGGCCUUCGGGUUGUAAACCUCUUUCAGUAGGGAAGAAGCGAAAGUGACGGUACCUGCAGAAGAAGCGCCGGCUAACUACGUGCCAGCAGCCGCGGUAAUACGUAGGGCGCAAGCGUUAUCCGGAAUUAUUGGGCGUAAAGAGCUCGUAGGCGGUUUGUCGCGUCUGCCGUGAAAGUCCGGGGCUCAACUCCGGAUCUGCGGUGGGUACGGGCAGACUAGAGUGAUGUAGGGGAGACUGGAAUUCCUGGUGUAGCGGUGAAAUGCGCAGAUAUCA
RNAcentral lists this ribosomal RNA (619 nucleotides) under Arthrobacter sp. 7AL.2. RNAcentral describes it as "bacterial SSU rRNA". It matches the Rfam family "Bacterial small subunit ribosomal RNA", at positions 67 to 699 of the family's 1533-position model. The record is from RNAcentral. Lineage: Bacteria; Bacillati; Actinomycetota; Actinomycetes; Micrococcales; Micrococcaceae.